This 66-nucleotide transfer RNA is filed under the name human gut metagenome. It matches the Rfam family "tRNA", at positions 5 to 66 of the family's 71-position model. Rfam says of the family: Transfer RNA (tRNA) molecules are approximately 80 nucleotides in length. The record is from RNAcentral.
GGUAUAGCGCAGUUGGUAGCGCGCUUGUCUGGGGGGCAAGAGGUCGUGGGUUCAAGUCCCGCUACU